UACGUAGGCAGCGAGCGUUGUUCGGAGUUACUGGGCGUAAAGGGUGUGUAGGCGGUUCUUUAAGUUUGGUGUGAAAUCUCCCGGCUCAACCGGGAGGGUGCGCCGAAUACUGAGGGACUAGAGUACGGGAGAGGAAAGUGGAAUUCCUGGUGUAGCGGUGAAAUGCGUAGAUAUCAGGAGGAACACCGGUGGUGUAGACGGCUUUCUGGACCGUAACUGACGCUGAGGAGCGAAAGCAUGGGGAGCGAACAGG
This 253-nucleotide ribosomal RNA is filed under the name uncultured bacterium. RNAcentral describes it as "partial 16S ribosomal RNA". It matches the Rfam family "Bacterial small subunit ribosomal RNA", at positions 524 to 776 of the family's 1533-position model. The record is from RNAcentral.